RNAcentral lists this ribosomal RNA (239 nucleotides) under uncultured bacterium. Its description in RNAcentral is "partial 16S ribosomal RNA". It matches the Rfam family "Bacterial small subunit ribosomal RNA", at positions 118 to 348 of the family's 1533-position model. The record is from RNAcentral.
UGAGGAACAUGACCUUCGGCGGGGGAUAGCCGGCCCAACGGCCGGGUAAUACCGCGUACGACCACAUGGGGACAUCCCUGAGUGGUGAAAGCAGCAAUGCGCCGAUGGAGUGCCUCGCGGCCUAUCAGCUAGUUGGUGAGGUAACGGCUCACCAAGGCAACGACGGGUAGCUGGUCUGAGAGGAUGGCCAGCCACAGUUGGGACUGAGACACCGGCCCAGACCUUCGUAACCGGGGAGG